RNAcentral lists this ribosomal RNA (253 nucleotides) under uncultured bacterium. Its description in RNAcentral is "partial 16S ribosomal RNA". It matches the Rfam family "Bacterial small subunit ribosomal RNA", at positions 524 to 776 of the family's 1533-position model. The record is from RNAcentral.
UACGUAGGUGGCAAGCGUUGUCCGGAUUUACUGGGCGUAAAGAGCGCGCAGGCGGUCGUUCAAGUCGCGUGUGAAAGCCCCCGGCUCAACUGGGGAGGGUCACGCGAUACUGAUCGACUCGAAGGCAGGAGAGGGUAGUGGAAUUCCCGGUGUAGUGGUGAAAUGCGCAGAUAUCAGGAGGAACACCGAUAGCGAAGGCAGCUCGCUGGGACGGUACUGACGCUGAGGUGCGAAAGCGUGGGGAGCGAACAGG